CGGAGGGCGUAGCGUUGUUCGGAAUUACUGGGCGUAAAGCGCACGUAGGCGGACUGGAAAGUUGGGGUGGAAAUACCCGGGGCGUCAACCUCGGAACUGCCUUCAAAACUAAUCAGUCUGGAGUUCGAGAGAGGUGAGUGGAAUUCCGAGUGUAGAGGUGAAAUUCGUAGAUAUUCGGAGGAACACCAGUGGCGAAGGCGGCUCACUGGCUCGAUACUGACGCUGAGGUGCGAAAGCGUGGGGAGCAAACAGGAUU
RNAcentral lists this ribosomal RNA (256 nucleotides) under uncultured bacterium. Its description in RNAcentral is "partial 16S ribosomal RNA". It matches the Rfam family "Bacterial small subunit ribosomal RNA", at positions 526 to 779 of the family's 1533-position model. The record is from RNAcentral.